UAGGUGGAUGCUCGCUGGUUAGAGCACUUAGCUGUUAACUAAGUAUAUGCGGGAUCGAGGCCCGCCCAUCUAU
This 73-nucleotide transfer RNA is filed under the name Zenopsis conchifer. RNAcentral describes it as "tRNA-Asn". It matches the Rfam family "tRNA". From Rfam's summary of the family: Transfer RNA (tRNA) molecules are approximately 80 nucleotides in length. Their secondary structure includes four short double-helical elements and three loops (D, anti-codon, and T loops). Further hydrogen bonds mediate the characteristic L-shaped molecular structure. tRNAs have two regions of fundamental functional importance: the anti-codon, which is responsible for specific mRNA codon recognition, and the 3' end, to which the tRNAs corresponding amino acid is attached (by aminoacyl-tRNA synthetases). tRNAs cope with the degeneracy of the genetic code in two manners: having more than one tRNA (with a specific anti-codon) for a particular amino acid; and 'wobble' base-pairing, i.e. permitting non-standard base-pairing at the 3rd anti-codon position. Lineage: Eukaryota; Metazoa; Chordata; Actinopteri; Zeiformes; Zeidae. The record is from RNAcentral.